This is a microRNA precursor of Taeniopygia guttata (zebra finch), 68 nucleotides long. NCBI's taxonomy places the organism in Eukaryota, Metazoa, Chordata, Aves, Passeriformes, Estrildidae. The record is from Ensembl.
GUAGCUGGAUCCGGCUGUGGAGAAGGAGGUGCAUUCACCCCCGCCAUCCUCUCCAUCCUCGGGAGAAC